This 981-nucleotide ribosomal RNA is filed under the name human gut metagenome. RNAcentral's name for it is "bacterial LSU rRNA". It matches the Rfam family "Bacterial large subunit ribosomal RNA", at positions 1945 to 2925 of the family's 2925-position model. The record is from RNAcentral.
ACGGUCCUAAGGUAGCGAAAUUCCUUGUCGGGUAAGUUCCGACCCGCACGAAAGGCGUAAUGAUUUGAGCACUGUCUCGACAAUGCAUCCGGUGAAAUUGAAGUACCAGUGAAGAUGCUGGUUACCUGCGCCAGGACGGAAAGACCCCAUGGAGCUUUACUCUAGUUUGGUACUGGGGUCCGGUAUUGCAUGUACAGGAUAGGUGGGAGACUGAGAAGUGUGAACGCCAGUUUGCACGGAGUCAUUGUUGGGAUACCACCCCUGCAGUAUUGGGCUUCUAACAGGUAGCCGUAAACCGGCUAAUGGACAAUGCCAGGCGGGGAGUUUGACUGGGGCGGUCGCCUCCGAAAGGGUAUCGGAGGCGCUCAAAGGUUCCCUCAGAAUGGUUGGAAACCAUUCGAAGAGUGCAAAGGCAGAAGGGAGCUUGACUGCGACACCGACGGGUGGAGCAGGUACGAAAGUAGGACUUAGUGAUCCGGUGGUAUAAAGUGGGAUUGCCAUCGCUCAACGGAUAAAAGCUACCCUGGGGAUAACAGGCUUAUCACUCCCAAGAGUUCACAUCGACGGAGUGGUUUGGCACCUCGAUGUCGGCUCAUCGCAUCCUGGGGCUGUAGUAGGUCCCAAGGGUUGGGCUGUUCGCCCAUUAAAGCGGUACGCGAGCUGGGUUCAGAACGUCGUGAGACAGUUCGGUCCCUAUCCGGCGCGGGCGCAGGAUAUCUGAGAGGAGCCGUCCUUAGUACGAGAGGACCGGGACGGACUGACCUCUGGUGUACCGGCUGGCAUGCCAAUGCCACGGCCGGGUAGCCAAGUCGGGCAGGGAUAAACGCUGAAGGCAUCUAAGCGUGAAGCCCCCCUCAAGAUGGGAUAUCCCACUGAGUAAUCAGGUAAGACCCCUUGAAGACGACAAGGUUGAUAGGCUGGAGAUGUAAGUACAGCAAUGUAUUCAGUUGACCAGUACUAAUAGGUCGAGGGCUUAACCGA